AUGCUUGCGAUCACAUUGAGAGUCAUCCCUGAGCGAAGUUUGCAGUGUCCUUUCUGUUUGGUGGUGCACCUCCGAAAAAGACGUGUCGGUUUGAGACUCCCUCGCAGAGCCUUUUUUGGGCCGAGGGAGAAGACUUCGGGCCUCAUUAUCUGCAUUUGUGCCAAGGAAAAGCCCAAGGGAAGGCACGAAACGCUGGAAAUGUGGAAUGGCCCAAGCAAGGGAACGUGGAAGAUGAAGAGCAGUCCUGCAAGACUUUAUCUUUCAGCCACACGAGCGGCUGGGUGAAGUGUUCCAGGCCGAGGAUGCUGUCUGCUGAGAGAGUGGAGGCCCAGCCACCCCAAUUUACUGCCUGCCCUACUAAGCCUCUUAGCCCAGAUGACCCCUGGGCGUUCAGAUCUGAGCUCUUAUCACAAAGCGGUGUUUCAUACCCCGGAUGACAGGCUGGCUCCUCAGAGGCGUAUCUUGCGGAGAUGAUCUCAGGCAGAAAGAAAAUGGUUGAGGACAUCAAGUGGUACUAUUAAGGACUACAAAUUACCAUGGGCUCUUGUGUCUGCUUUUCUUCCCGCCUUUAUUUAGAACUCUAAUUGGAUAGUUUCUGCUAAAACACUUAGGAGUGGUAAUGAUCAAGGCCCAAGAAUUUGAUUUUGUUUAGUCUUUUAAAAUACUGUAACUGAUUUUAGCUAAAAGGAAGUUUUAGUCAUUUGCGUUUCUAGGGUAGGUAAAAUAAUAUUGACUUCACAGGGUCCCAUGUCUAACAAUACACACAGAAGCAGCACCA
This 778-nucleotide long non-coding RNA is filed under the name Chinchilla lanigera (long-tailed chinchilla). RNAcentral describes it as "lncRNA (ENSCLAG00000024315.1)". Lineage: Eukaryota; Metazoa; Chordata; Mammalia; Rodentia; Chinchillidae. The record is from RNAcentral.